This 199-nucleotide long non-coding RNA is filed under the name Sorghum bicolor (sorghum). RNAcentral's name for it is "long non-coding RNA (SBIC_LNC010602)". Lineage: Eukaryota; Viridiplantae; Streptophyta; Magnoliopsida; Poales; Poaceae. The record is from RNAcentral.
UUCUACCUUACAUUGAUUGCUAAGCCUAAAAAGAAAUAUUAAUUAGAGAAGAGGUUUUCCUUCGAGGGCACCCCUCAGUCUCUAUGAUAAUUUCUUCAUGUCUUCUCCAGGGGCCAGGGGGCUUUGCUUAUAUAGUCCUCCCCUUCUAUGCGUUUUUGGGUCGAUAGGCGAGGUGGUACUAUGUUUUUCUUGAUCCAAU